This 33-nucleotide transfer RNA is filed under the name Epipogium aphyllum. RNAcentral's name for it is "partial tRNA-Tyr". Lineage: Eukaryota; Viridiplantae; Streptophyta; Magnoliopsida; Asparagales; Orchidaceae. The record is from RNAcentral.
GGGUUGAUUUCCGAGUGGUUAAAGGUGACGUAU